RNAcentral lists this ribosomal RNA (386 nucleotides) under Erebia albergana (almond-eyed ringlet). RNAcentral describes it as "partial 16S ribosomal RNA". The record is from RNAcentral. Lineage: Eukaryota; Metazoa; Arthropoda; Insecta; Lepidoptera; Nymphalidae.
GUCUUUUUGAAUAUAAGUUAAAGUCUAAUCUGCCCACUGAUAUAUAUUAAAGGGCUGCAGUAUUAUGACUGUACAAAGGUAGCAUAAUCAUUAGUUUUUUAAUUGAAAACUUGUAUGAAAGAUUUAAUGAAAUAUUAACUGUCUCUUAUUUUUUAUUAAAAUUUUAUUUUUUAGUAAAAAAGCUAAAAUAAUUUUAAAAGACGAGAAGACCCUAUAGAGUUUUAUAUUUAAAUUUAUUUUAAUUUUAUAUAAAAAUUAAUAUUAAAAUAAAAUUAAAUAUUAUAUUGGGGUGAUAGAAAAAUUAUAAUAACUUUGUUUAAAUAGUAAACAUUAAUAAAUGAUUAAAUGAUCCAUUAAUAAUGAUUAUAAGAAAAAAUUACCUUAGG